RNAcentral lists this long non-coding RNA (4095 nucleotides) under Sinocyclocheilus anshuiensis. Its description in RNAcentral is "lncRNA (ENSSANG00000005940.1)". Lineage: Eukaryota; Metazoa; Chordata; Actinopteri; Cypriniformes; Cyprinidae. The record is from RNAcentral.
UUGAUGUAUUAGUCUUUAUUUUUUAAUCAGUCUUUAAAUAUCAGAUUCCAUGUGCUCUGAACAUGAGCAUCACAAAUGGAAGGUGACUGAUGUAUAUAUGUUUUAUGGGUAGUUGGUGCAAGCAACAUCAAGAUUUUAGGUUAACAUCUGACUGUAUAAGGGUAAAUGUGUAUUUUAUGUGCUGUAAAUAGUCAUAAUUUCUUUUGUUUUUACAUUUUUUCGCCUUUUCAGUGAAUUUAUGAAGUCGUAUAAAUUAACAAAAUGUCCACGUCAACUACACUUAUGCAUUAUAAAGAAAAAUAUAGCAUGUUGUUUAAAAUUUAAGUAGGUGAUAGGAUGUGACAUGGAUGUCAUAUGAAAAGGAACAAUUUGUCUAUGCCAUUAAAUAUAAAUAAAUGUCAUCCAAUAAAUCCAUUGUGAUGUAACUGAGUAGCCUUAUGAAUUUCAUUCACACCAUUUUGUGUACGUGACCCAAAUAGCCUAUAUGUCAUGCAAUGUCCAUUCCAUCAAUGUCCAUGACCAAAGCCUGAUCGAUUGUGUUCCAGCUGUGUUCUCCCCCCGUGUUUUCACUGACCUCAAUGUGGAGUCAUUACAUCAGAAUCAGAUGGGUAUUGGGUGACACAAAGCCCUGGCAGCAGUAGACCUGUUUCACUCAGCUGCUCGAGCCUGGUGAAGAAACAUCUGCUUGUGAAAGGAUGCACUUUUGAAUAUAUUUCUUUAGAAGAUCAUUCAUUCUUCAGACUACUGGAACUUUCAAAACAAAUUUUAAACAGACCCCAAAAAGCUACAAGGAUCACAUGCCCAAAUCAGAGCUAAAAAAAUCAUUUUCAGGAAUUGCAAGGGAGGCAUCAACAGAGUAACGAAGCUAAAUACUGAUAGUGUAGCAAGUGUAUAAGAUGGAAAGAUACUUCACACCUGUGCGUGGCUCCUCCGAGGAUGAGGUGAAAAUUUACAAACAUUACCAUCCCAUACCUCAACAGCAUCCUCACAACCAUCAUUAUCACCACCAUGGAUCAUACAGUCACAGCUCUUCAAGCGGUCAUGGAAAACACAGUGAUAAACAUACUCACCAUCACCACGACAACCAACAUCACUUUUAUCAUCCCGCAAACCCUAAAAUGUCUGGAGACCAUCACAGCUUCUCUAAAAGGUCUUCUUCCAGCCUGUCCUCCUCCUCCUCCUCUUCUUCAUCUGCAUCUUGGACAUCAGAGCCCAGCCUGGAUGAUGAGACGUAUCUCAUGCACAAACCCCAGCAUUCCCUGUCCUGCUCCAACAUCCCUGAGGUUCGAAGGAAAAGCCAUAACAGAGAAUCUGAGGACUUUGAUCACAGAGAUCAGAGGCACCGCCACAGCCUUGAAAAUGUCGUCGAACUGCUGCCUGGUUCUCAGCAUGAACAUCGGAUGCCAAAACUCUCCCGGGGCCAUAGCAAAAGUGAGGAGGGCCUUCAACAAAACAAGCACAAACAUGAUUACUCAGAAGCAUCUCACUCCAUUGAUCAUGGGCCACUUUACAAGACUGCAAGCCUGGGACAAAGCCUUGCCUUUGGUGGCAAUAAUGACAACACUCUAGGUGGCAGGGUGGUUCCCAAGAAGGCUGUUUCAUCUAUUCAGCUGCCCAGCAAAGGUAUUCUGAAAAACAAAUAUGAGGGACAGAAAGAAGGAAACUUCAGGAAAGCAAAGUCUAUGGAGAUGCUCUCCACCAGGGUGCACGUCACAGGAACAUCCAAGCAGAUCUCAAUGGAAGCUGCGAGGGAUAACGUUGUGAAAGGGAAGCUACAAUUCUCUGCAUUUCUGGACGAGAUCACCAAGCAGGUUAUCAGUCCCUGUGCUCUUAGCUCUUUUGGUGUAAACACAUCAACGCCACCAAAAUCUCCCAAUGAAGAGCACAAGAACUGCAGCGGCAAGCAGGAGAGCUUUGUGCCAUCACCAAAACAGCAGCCCAUCAGAACUGAGAGACCUGAUUCAGGAAAAAACAAUUCAAGCUCACUUUCUCGAUCACAUAAGAGACCGAGCAAAUACCACAACCGAAACCUGACCAGUCCUCCAACGCCACCCCGCCACCCUUCUAAAGCUGAAAGACAAGGGGCUGCUUCAGGUAAACAGCACCACAGGCAAUAUUCUCAGAUGCUCACUGAUGGUACCAGCACCAGCCCAGAAACUAUCCACACCAACCUCUCGAAACACAAAGGGCGACAUCAAAGUAGUCAUGGCCCCUCCAGACACUUUCAUACUAAGCAGGAGAAGGAAUCACCGCCACCUUUGCGAGUCGCAGGGCUGGAGUCAGAGUCUCAGUCGAGUAAAUCAUCCACCAGUGCUAGUUCAGAGAAAAGUGACAGACCCAAACACAUGGGACACAGAAGGCAGUCCAAACCACACAGGGAUUCAUCUGGUUCCGUGGACAGAGUUCAGAUGCUGGAGGAGUACAACAAAGAGCUACGUGAGAACCUGUUGCAGACGGUGGCAUGCAUUGAGAACAUGGAGGCAGAAUUGCAGUGUACCAAGACAGAGUUAGUCAGCUUCAAAGAGAAAUACAGAAGGCUUCAGGAAAGCUAUUCUGUUUCUCAGCAGGCAAACAGUGUCUUGGAGCAGAAACUCAAAUCUGCGGUAGACAGCUUGGACUCAGAGAGGAAGUUCCUCAUGCAGAGAGUCGCAGAUCUGACUAAACAGCUGGAUACUGCUCAGAAGACCAUCAGCUCUUUAGAAAACAUCAAUGUUCCCUCAUUCAUUAGAGAGUUGUUGAAAAAUCACUUUGACUCUCAGGAAGCACUGGAGCACUUCUUAUGUCCUCGAACAUCUCCACGGCAACCUGAUUUUGACCAAUCAGAGAGGGCACAGGAGGUCACAAACAACCAACCAUCUGGUGGAAAAGAGGAAGUUUUUGAAUGGCCACAGACUGGACACACAUGUUCAGGUGCCAGACAACAGCCUGCCACAGCCUUUCUGCCAUGGAAACAUGAUCAUGUUCCAUGGGCAGGGCCAGGGCAACUCAUGGCUAAAGGAAGUGACUCACAACUUCCUUUUUCUUUUGGUAAUGAUGUGCCAAUCCACAAAACAAAGGCAGAUACAAAGGCCCCAAGUCAUCAAGUGCAUCAAUUAGCCAUGAACACAGAUAUCUACUUAAUUCCCCCAAACCCAUAUAAUUUAGAUGAGAUGAGGUUCAGCAGAAAGGCAGGUGGAGAGGGAACCAUCACUGUGGGGAAAGAGCCCACUGAUGUCAGCUGUCUUACAGCUCAUAGGAUGCUGAAUGAGUUUUUAAACCAGAUCCCUCCUCCAGCGCAUGAUGGUGAAGGGAAAGCUAGUUUAGAAGCAGAACUAACAGAAGGAAAGCAGUAACAUUUAAUUUGACAUCUUUUUGGUAAACUGAACUGGAUAAAAACCUCAAUAACGUCUCCCAUUACCAAUACUGCAGCAAGGAUGCAACUAACUGUGGCUCUGAUGGCUCUUUGUUGGUAGUUGUGAAAUACACUUAAUUUCUAGCUUCACAAGUUGCUGUAUGCAUAUAAGUUUGUAUAUACCAUCUGGUUUUGUGCUGUAUCCAUUAAAACUUUUAGUUUUCUGGUUUCCUGUUUUCAUUUGUAGUUCAGUGCAUUUGCAAAAGGCAUCCUCCAUAUUAGUAUUUUUGUACAUGUUUGCACUUUUUGCCCUGCAUAUUGUGAAAUAUUUAAGGUUAGCAAUAAAAUAAUAUAAUUCGAUAUUCAUAUUAUUUUAUUGCUAACCAAAAUUACUGUCAAUUUGUUUUGGAAAAGUAUGGCACUUUCUUCUGUCUUUGAGUGCUUCUGUCUUUUGAGUGAAGUUUGAAUUCUUGUUUUUGUGAAAUCUAUAUGUGUAACUACACUCUAAAAAAUGCUGGGUUAAAUAUAACCCAGUGCUGGGUUAAAAAGGGACAAACCCUCCCUUUUUAACCCAGCAUUUUUUAGAGUGUAUAUGUAUAGAAUAUAAGUUUAUAUAAGUUUCUGCUAGAAAUCAAAUAAGCCAUAUAACCAUAUAUAUUUAUUAUAGAAUAUCCUUGUAUUUUUAUUCUAACUGUAUUAAUAAAGUCUUGUGUACAAGUUUGCUCUACAUUUGGGAAUGGUUAAUAUCUGUCUUAGGGGUGUCU